CGGCGAUCCGGGGUCUGGGCGCGGCGAGGUCUGGUGUGGCAGAUGUGGAUAGCUGGACCCUCCUGGGUGCCUCUGCGUUAUGUCGUUUGGUUGAUGCAUUUGGAGAGAAUCUGUGCUCUCCACAACUGCAGGGGCAACAUGCUUUCCUGGCCUCUUCAGAUCAGGGUGGCUGUUCUUGGGUGCUGCACCAAAACUCCAGCAGUGGGCUUUCUUCAAGUGGCCGGCUCACCUCAUUCCUGCCAAGACCCAGGUCCGUGUUCUCACAGUGCUGCCAUCUUUCCUCCGUGUGAGCGUGGGCUGUGCGGAGAGUGGACCUCGGUGUGUGCGGGGCUGCGUGCACUGCCAUCGCUCCCUCUACACGAGCCGGCGUGGACCCAGGGCUGAGCUGUGACCACGAGGGCCAUCCCGACGAGCCGCCAUGGACCCAGGGCUGAGCUGUGACCAUGAGGGCUAUCCCGACGAGCUGCCGUGGACCCAGGGCUGAGCCGUGACCAUGAGGGCCAUCCCGAAACUGUGAUUGUUUUCUGAAUGUGGAAGCGUCGGCCGAGCGCGGUCCUUGGAGAACCCUUGCUGCGGAGAAUGACGCUCACUCUGCGGCCUGGCCUCGCCUCCCCAUCCCUUCUGCAAACUCACAGGACAGGAUUGAUGGGGAGAGCCCAGGCGAAACGAAGCUGACCCUAGUGACCAGCCCUACUGGCGGCUCUGGAACAGGCCCGGGACCGGUGGCCUGGAGACAGUGGUCCUUUCUGGAUGGGCUGCAGUCUCCGAAGGCUUCCCCCACUGGAGUCAGCCCUUUAGGAGUUUGUCCAGUGCCUCCAGAAAGCUGUUUUUUGGGGGACGGAGGACUUGGCCUGGAAUUCUGGAAUUCCCAGGGGGUCAGACAUGGUUAUGGGAAGUUUAAUAAAACCGGUGAAUCACGUGAAAAAAAAAAAAAAAAAAAAA
RNAcentral lists this long non-coding RNA (942 nucleotides) under Homo sapiens (human). Its description in RNAcentral is "SNAI3 antisense RNA 1 (SNAI3-AS1)". Lineage: Eukaryota; Metazoa; Chordata; Mammalia; Primates; Hominidae. The record is from RNAcentral.